GAUGAAGAACGUAGCGAAAUGCGAUAAGUAAUGUGAAUUGCAGAAUUCAGUGAAUCAUCGAAUCUUUGAACGCACAUUGCGCCCGCCAGCAUUCUGGCGGGCAUGCCUGUUCGAGCGUCAUUUCAACCCUCAAGCUCUGCUUGGUGUUGGGCCCUACGGUUGACGUAGGCCCUUAAAGGUAGUGGCGGACCCUCUCGGAGCCUCCUUUGCGUAGUAACUAACGUCUCGCAUUGGGAUUCGGAGGGACUCUUGCCGUAAAACCCCCAAAUUUUCUAAUGGUUGACCUCGGAUCAGGUAGGAAUACCCGCUGAACUUAAGCAUAUCAAUAAGCGGAGGA
Molecule: unclassified non-coding RNA, 337 nt
Filed under: soil metagenome
Description: partial contains 5.8S ribosomal RNA, internal transcribed spacer 2, and large subunit ribosomal RNA
Rfam family: 5.8S ribosomal RNA (bases 1-120)
Source: RNAcentral